AUUGAACGCUGGCGGCAGGCCUAACACAUGCAAGUCGAGCGGAUGAAGGGGGCUUGCUCCUGGAUUCAGCGGCGGACGGGUGAGUAAUGCCUAGGAAUCUGCCUGGUAGUGGGGGAUAACGUCCGGAAACGGGCGCUAAUACCGCAUGCGUCCUGAGGGAGAAAGUGGGGGAUCUUCGGACCUCACGCUAUCAGAUGAGCCUAGGUCGGGUUAGCUAGUUGGUGGGGUAAAGGCCUACCAAGGCGACGAUCCGCAACUGGUCUGAGAGGAUGAUCAGUCACACUGGAACUGAGACACGGUCCAGACUCCUACGGGAGGCAGCAGUGGGGAAUAUUGGACAAUGGGCGAAAGCCUGAUCCAGCCAUGCCGCGUGUGUGAAGAAGGUCUUCGGAUUGUAAAGCCCUUUAAGUUGGGAGGAAGGGCAGUAAGUUAAUACCUUGCUGUUUUGACGUUACCAACAGAAUAAGCACCGGCUAACUUCGUG
Molecule: ribosomal RNA, 484 nt
Filed under: uncultured bacterium
Lineage: Bacteria
Description: partial 16S ribosomal RNA
Rfam family: Bacterial small subunit ribosomal RNA
Source: RNAcentral